Molecule: ribosomal RNA, 636 nt
Filed under: uncultured bacterium
Lineage: Bacteria
Description: bacterial SSU rRNA
Rfam family: Bacterial small subunit ribosomal RNA
Source: RNAcentral
UGCAAGUCGAACGAGGUCCAACCGGUGGAAACACCGGUGAAGACCUAGUGGCGAACGGGUGAGGAACACGUGAGUAACCUGCCCCGAAGACCGGGAUAACAUCGGGAAACCGGUGCUAAUACCGGAUAAUCUCUUCAGCUCGCAUGAGUUGAAGAGGAAAAGGGUUUCUGCUUCGGGAGGGGCUCGCGGCCUAUCAGCUUGUUGGUGGGGUAAUGGCCUACCAAGGCUUCGACGGGUAGCUGGUCUGAGAGGACGAUCAGCCACACUGGGACUGAGACACGGCCCAGACUCCUACGGGAGGCAGCAGUGGGGAAUCUUGCGCAAUGGGCGAAAGCCUGACGCAGCAACGCCGCGUGGAGGACGAAGGCUCUUCGAGUUGUAAACCCCUUUCAGCAGGAACGAUUGUGACGGUACCUGCAGAAGAAGCCCCGGCCAACUACGUGCCAGCAGCCGCGGUAAUACGUAGGGGGCGAGCGUUGUCCGGAUUUAUUGGGCGUAAAGAGCUCGUAGGCGGCUUGGCAAGUCGGGUGUGAAACCUCCAGGCUCAACCUGGAGCCGCCAUCCGAUACUGUCAUGGCUAGAGUCCGGUAGGGGACCAUGGAAUUUCUGGUGUAGCGGUGAAAUGCGCAGAUAUCA